Molecule: ribosomal RNA, 253 nt
Filed under: uncultured bacterium
Lineage: Bacteria
Description: partial 16S ribosomal RNA
Rfam family: Bacterial small subunit ribosomal RNA
Source: RNAcentral
UACGAAGGGGGCUAGCGUUGCUCGGAAUUACUGGGCGUAAAGGGCGCGUAGGCGGCACUGUUAGUCAGGCGUGAAAGUCCUGGGCUCAACCUGGGAACUGCGCUUGAUACGGCAGAGCUAGAGGAUGGAAGAGGGUCGCGGAAUUCCCAGUGUAGAGGUGAAAUUCGUAGAUAUUGGGAAGAACACGGGUGGCGAAGGCGGCGACCUGGUCCAUUACUGACGCUGAGGCGCGACAGCGUGGGGAGCAAACAGG